CUACCGGCGUCGAGAGGCGCUGGGAUGGCUGUGCAGAAGUCAGCCGAGGCCAUAGUAGGUGCGGUAUGACCGAAGGGC
This 78-nucleotide non-coding RNA is filed under the name Trinickia symbiotica. The record is from RNAcentral. Lineage: Bacteria; Pseudomonadati; Pseudomonadota; Betaproteobacteria; Burkholderiales; Burkholderiaceae.